ACGCUCGACACCUACGGGAGACAGCAGUGGGGAAUAUUGCACAAUGGGGGAAACCCUGAUGCAGCGACGCCGCGUGAGUGAAGAAGUAUUUCGGUAUGUAAAGCUCUAUCAGCAGGGAAGAAGAUGACGGUACCUGAGUAAGAAGCCCCGGCUAACUACGUGCCAGCAGCCACGGUAAUCUGAGCGGGCUGGCAAGGC
This 198-nucleotide ribosomal RNA is filed under the name uncultured bacterium. RNAcentral describes it as "partial 16S ribosomal RNA". It matches the Rfam family "Bacterial small subunit ribosomal RNA", at positions 328 to 539 of the family's 1533-position model. The record is from RNAcentral.